CCUACGGGGGGCUGCAGUGAGGAAUAUUGGUCAAUGGACGAGAGUCUGAACCAGCCAAGUAGCGUGAAGGAUGACUGCCCUAUGGGCUGUAAACUUCUUUUAUAUGGGAAUAAAACAGGGUAUGCAUACCCUCUUGUAUGUACCAUAUGUAUAAGGAUCGGCUAACUACGUGCCAGCAGCCGCGGUAAUACGGAGGUUCCGAGCGUUAUCCGGAUUUAUUGGGUUUAAAGGGAGCGUAGGUGGAUUGUUAAGUCAGUUGUGAAAGUUUGCGGCUCAACCGUAAAAUUGCAGUUGAAACUGGAAGUCUUGAGUACAGUAGAGGUGAGCGGAAUUCGUGGUGUAGCGGUGAAAUGCUUAGAUAUCACGAAGAACUCCGAUUGCGAAGGCAGUUCACUGGACUGCAACUGACACUGAGGCUCGAAAGUGUGGGUAUCAAACAGGAUUAGAUACCCCAGUAGUC
Molecule: ribosomal RNA, 460 nt
Filed under: uncultured bacterium
Lineage: Bacteria
Description: partial 16S ribosomal RNA
Rfam family: Bacterial small subunit ribosomal RNA
Source: RNAcentral